CUUAACCCAAGCACAGCCAGCAAGGCAUGGACUAGUCACAAGUGUCUAAUUGCAGGGUAGACAUAAUAAGCUAUUACGUCUUAUCAAUGGUUCCCUUGAAGAUAACUAGAAGACUGAAAUUAGGAUAAAUAUCACAUACUGGUGACAAAUUUGGACCCAGACCCCAAAAGGCUAUUCAGAACAAAAGGCGUUCAGACUACAUCUUCCUCUUCCCCAGCUCAACUGAAAAACUAGAAGAACCAAGCUUGGCCUCACAUCCAUGAAACCAACAAAAGCAGGAUCUUCUUACCAUCAUUUUUCCCCUUUUGUUUGUGGUGCAUUUUCCUUCUUUCAUUCCAUGACAUGAGUGUUGACUGCUGACUAGAUCCAAAUUAAUGGUCUCCCCAGGAUAUUAUAUUUCAGUUUUUUUAAAGGGCCACAGAAACAGCAGGAAAUGACUGACCUGACUACAGAGGAUAAAUAAAACAUGAUGUCAAAUAUACAAGACCUCAAGAAGGGCUCUGUGGAAACUCGAAAGCUUGUCUCUUUCAUCAACAAAAGUUGGAAUAACAAAAGAUAUUCCCUCACCUUCUUUCUCUCUCUAAUAUCCUGAAACAGAUGCAACUACAACACUGCAUGAAACUUAUCAAUUUAAACUGGCGUUACAACAAGGGUAGGCCUGAAAUUGAGAUUCUGCUCCUCUCUCUGAUUUAUGGGGAGAUGGGGGUUUGCCUUUUUGCUUUGUAAGAUGAUAGUACAUAUUUCUCUUUCAAUGUGUUAUAGGCACAGAGGCUGCCAGAUACAUAGCAGUGCAGCGGGGCUUUCAAUCUGCUAAGUAGAACUACAAUGAGAAGUGUUGUGGUGUCAAAUAUUUGUCUUGACAAGUUUGCUGCUGACGUAACCUUAAAUCCUGAUGCGUUAGCAUUACCAACUAAGAAAACACCAGUAUUUUCUCCAAAUCUGUUUUGUAGCCCUCUAUGUUUGACAGUUCCAUGAAUGGAAAGAGAUAUUCAAAUUGGUCUCAUUCUGUUGGCUGUCAGAUUUAAUAGCUUUCUGUAAAAUUCCAUUAUCAAUGAAGAUGUUUCAGUUUAUCAUGUCCCUUCCCUCUCACUCUGGCAACAAUUCAGGUGACAAAGGAAACAAAGAGUUCUAGGAUCCUGUCUUUUCCCAGCUACAGACAGAGCUUUUUCAGCUUGAUGUAGAACAAUAGCAGGAAAUGGUAGAAUGAUGGCAAUUUUUUUUCCUAGAAGGGGCUUUGGAACUUAGAGGGGGCACGCCUAUCAGCACUCUACUUACACAACCAUGAAUUGGAGGAAAUUGGCCACAUCAAAUGGGUUUAAACUGACUGACAUGAUAGAGAACUAGAUUGUCACUUCCUGAAAGGGAUGGAUACAUACACUCCCCGGAUGCACCUUCUUUUGACAUUUCCCGUGCCUUUCCUUAUUAUUCAUCCACUCCUAGGAGUCAAUGGAAGAGGUUGCAACCUGCACUUUUAAAAGGCUACAUAAAGAAGUUACAGUCUGCACAGCAGUGGAUAUAGCUUUGUCAUUGAAAUUUCAUAGGCAAGGGACGACAGGGCUGGGAAAGGCAAAGGAUAGUACAAGUCUGCGGAACUCAGUAACAGAACCUUCAGCUUACAAAACAGACUCUGUAGGGGUUAAUGCAACUUGUUGGCUUGAUGAACUAGACAUGGUUAUUUACAUUUCACCCUGUGCCUCGCUAACAGUUAUCUGUUCCAUUAUAAACCAUUACUUUAUAUUCAGGAUU
Molecule: non-coding RNA, 1746 nt
Organism: Pelodiscus sinensis (Chinese soft-shelled turtle)
Lineage: Eukaryota; Metazoa; Chordata; Testudines; Trionychidae
Source: RefSeq, a predicted model, not a curated record